Cyprinus carpio carpio is the source of this 948-nucleotide long non-coding RNA. The record is from Ensembl. Lineage: Eukaryota; Metazoa; Chordata; Actinopteri; Cypriniformes; Cyprinidae.
UUGCUAGAAUAAUUGUUUUGUACACUGUAAUGGAUAAUAAGAUACAGGUACAAGGUACAACUUUACAUCGAUUUCUUCUUUUUCAGUCAUUGUCCCCAUAAUUAUUUAAGAACUGAAAAGUGAUAACUAUUAUCUCAUAAUUAUGACAUAACUUUUUAAAUAAUUUUGUUUUAUUUUUUAAUCUCAUAAUUAUUACAUAGUAUCUCAAAAUCAACAUUUAUGUGAUAAUUAUGUAUUUGUGUAUUUAUUUAUUUUUCUUAUGUGGUAGAAAUGGGCUUCUCUAGUGACAUGAUCAUCAUAUUCAUUUAUUUUGUGUAGUAUCACCUGCAGGUUCACUGAUCAAGUGUGUGAGAGUCGGUGUGUUUUCAGGGGUGUUUGUGUGAUUUAUUCUCCUGCAGGGCUCCGGAGGGCGGCCGCUGCCUCUCAGUAGAUGUCCUUGCCAGAACGCCAUUGACAGGAUGACAGAAGAGCUGGAAUAUGCUGAUAAAACUCUAGACGUCCAGGGAGGAUGUCCAUCAAAUGCUGAGCGCAGUUGUCAGUCGGAGCCGGAAUAGUGUUGGUUCAUCGAACACCAAAACAAAAGAAGCAUGGUGCUACUAUAGUUUUGUUGAGGAAAAUGACAUAUUUCUGGCUGGAGAUGCUGAUCCUCAGACCCGUGAAUAGGCUCACCAUAGAGCUGCAGUGUUUGACCAGUUCAUGCACUAACCAUAUAACUGUGCAUCUUUAACAAAAUAAAAAGACAGACCAAAAGCACUCACUGACUCCAUCAUGUUUCCAGUUGGCUCUGUUGGGAACAGCCCUUGGUAAUACUGUGUUUUUGGCCAUGAACCAUGUGUUUUGGAUAUUGCCAUAGUUAAUUCCAUGGUGUUUAUAUAUUAUAUGGUAUAUUUCUGUAUUAUUUUAAUAAUUCAGUACCAUGAUAUUGUCCAGGCCAGUGGUCCAGCGCCC